This is a non-coding RNA of Plutella xylostella (diamondback moth), 1253 nucleotides long. The record is from RefSeq and is a predicted model, not a curated record. NCBI's taxonomy places the organism in Eukaryota, Metazoa, Arthropoda, Insecta, Lepidoptera, Plutellidae.
AAGACUGCGGUCACUGGCUUCCACUGCCAGGGCCAGGGACACUUCGCAUCCAGCUGUCCAAAGCGUAGCAGAGAGGACCAGGAUGCUGCCAGUGGAGGAGCGAGUGGAUGCGGUGCAGCCAAGGAGAAGAGGGUCGAUCUAUGCGUAGUGAGCGCGCCUGCUGGGAUGUUGCAUUAAUCUGGUGAGCUGUUUUCGUUUAAACUAUGACUGUAGCUUCAAAGUUUAGAGGCUAGAUGUUUCAUUACGUGGAUGAGGUUAGUGUGACCGGUACUGUGGAAUUAUUUUCGAGGUUCGAGUCCUGGAACUGUUAAUCUGUCGGGUUGCCAGACCUGUUGACUUUAAAAAAAAAAGGUUAUGACAUUGAGGUUGAUCAAAUCCUGAGGUCCUGUUAAGCUAAGGUUAUUAGGGUUAUGAACAUGCGUCCAUGACCUCAUUAGGUAAAUGUCCGAAAGUUGAUUCCCUAUUUUUUAUUAUGAUCUUUUUUAUGCUAAGUAAUGAUGAAGCAAUCGAUUGAAUUGUGUUUUUCUGUGGUGUGUCUUGCUCAAUUGUUUAAUGCCACUGGAUGGAAGUGUUAGUGAGUGCUGGAUGGAGGCACUGGAAUGACACCGGAUGGAGGUGUGCAUUCGUGAUGAGUACUUGGGUAACCGGAUGGAGGCCGGACAAGUGAGCAAGGACCAUUGGUAAACAGAUCCUGAUCCGUGUUUUUGUUUAGUACAGAGUUAAAGAUAGUGGAUUCACUUUCGAGUAGGUAUUGAUUUGUUUUGUCUGAUACCACUAGAUGGAAGUCGUAGUAGACUGACGCCGGAUAGAGGUUGUCUUGAGUCACUAUCAGACGCCAGAGAGAGGUUGUCUUGGAUUAGAGUAUGACUAAUUUAAGCUGUGUAUACAUUCUUCGAUUAUUUUUACGUUAUUGCUGUUCCAUCAAUGGGUUUAAGCUGUUUUGAAAUUUUCCUUUUUGAAACGUGUAACUAAUUGAACUUUGAUAUCCAAUUUUGAGAUUUAAUGACUUUUUGUCUGAUACUGUUCAAGUUAAAGUUAGUUCAUCAGUGUGAUGAAUGCAGAGUUCAUGAGCCCACUGCUUUCUUCCCUGACUAGGUCAGGACUGGCCGAGUAAAAUUCAGUUACUGCGGUUGUUUUUCUUUCUUUCCAGAUAACUCACACGAGGACGUGUGAGAUGUCAUGAUGGCCGUGUCGCAGCGUUGGCAGACAAACGCCGCAUCGAUGUUGAUUUGAGCGUGUAAACGCGUCGUAAU